GACGAACGCUGGCGGCGUGCCUAAUACAUGCAAGUAGAACGCACAGUUUAUACCGUAGCUUGCUACACCAUAGACUGUGAGUUGCGAACGGGUGAGUAACGCGUAGGUAACCUGCCUGGUAGCGGGGGAUAACUAUUGGAAACGAUAGCUAAUACCGCAUAAUAUUAAUUAUUGCAUGAUAAUUAAUUGAAAGGUGCAAUUGCACCACUACCAGAUGGACCUGCGUUGUAUUAGCUAGUAGGUGAGGUAACGGCUCACCUAGGCGACGAUACAUAGCCGACCGGAGAGGGUGAUCGGCCACACUGGGACUGAGACACGGCCCAGACGCCUACGGGAGGCAGCAGUAGGGAAUCUUCGGCAAUGGACGAAAGUCUGACCGAGCAACGCCGCGUGAGUGAAGAAGGUUUUCGGAUCGUAAAGCUCUGUUGUAAGAGAAGAACGGGUGUGAGAGUGGAAAGUUCACACUGUGACGGUAUCUUACCAGAAAGGGACGGCUAACUACGUG
This 505-nucleotide ribosomal RNA is filed under the name uncultured bacterium. RNAcentral's name for it is "partial 16S ribosomal RNA". It matches the Rfam family "Bacterial small subunit ribosomal RNA", at positions 28 to 507 of the family's 1533-position model. The record is from RNAcentral.